UGUGUGUGCCACCGGGACACGCGUGUGCCACUGGGAUACGUGUGUGCCACCCAGACAGGUGUGUGCCACUGGGAUGCGUGUGUGUGCCACCAGGAUACACGUGUGUGCCACUGGGAUGCGUGUGUGCCACCAGGACACGUGUGCCACCAGGACACGCGUGUGCCACUGGGAUACGUGUGUGCCACCAGGACACGCGUGUGCCACUGGGAUACGUGUGUGCCACCCAGACACGUGUGUGCCACCAGGACACGCGUGUGUGCCACCAGGACACGCGUGUGCCACUGGGAUACGUGUGUGCCACCCAGACAGGUGUGUGCCACCAGGACACGCGUGUGCCACUGGGAUACGUGUGUGCCACCCAGACACGUGUGUGCCACCAGGACACGCGUGUGUGCCACCGGGAUGCGUGUGUGCCACCCGGACAUGUCUGUGCCACAGGGGUACGCGUGCACACCACUCAGACAUGUAUGUGGCACUGGGACACGUGUGUGUGCCACCCAAACAUGCGUGUGUGCCACUGGGAUACAGGUGUGCCACCAGGACACGGAUGUGCCACCCGGACAUGCGUGUGUGCCACCGGGACACGUGUGUGCCACCGGGACAUGUGCGUGCCACCGGGACACGGGUGCCACCCCCCCACGCAUGUCCCACCGGGACACGUGUGUGCCAUGGGGACACGUGUGCCACCUCCCCACCCGUGCGCACUCCCCCCACCUCGUACCCACCCUCUGGGCCCCAGCCCCCGGGGUCCCCCCCAGCCCUGCCCCCCCCCCCUC
This is a long non-coding RNA of Cygnus olor (mute swan), 776 nucleotides long. RefSeq lists it as uncharacterized. Lineage: Eukaryota; Metazoa; Chordata; Aves; Anseriformes; Anatidae. The record is from RefSeq and is a predicted model, not a curated record. The transcript has 4 exons.